AACGAACGCUGGCGGCAUGCCUAACACAUGCAAGUCGAACGAGAUCUUCGGGUCUAGUGGCGCACGGGUGCGUAACGCGUGGGAAUCUGCCCUUUGGUUCGGAAUAACAGUUGGAAACGACUGCUAAUACCGGAUGAUGACGAAAGUCCAAAGAUUUAUCGCCAGAGGAUGAGCCCGCGUAGGAUUAGCUAGUUGGUGUGGUAAAGGCGCACCAAGGCGACGAUCCUUAGCUGGUCUGAGAGGAUGAUCAGCCACACUGGGACUGAGACACGGCCCAGACUCCUACGGGAGGCAGCAGUGGGGAAUAUUGGACAAUGGGCGAAAGCUUGAUCCAGCAAUGCCGCGUGAGUGAUGAAGGCCUUAGGGUUGUAAAGCUCUUUUACCCGGGAUGAUAAUGACAGUACCGGGAGAAUAAGCUCCGGCUAACUCCGUGCCAGCAGCCGCUGUAA
RNAcentral lists this ribosomal RNA (449 nucleotides) under uncultured bacterium. RNAcentral describes it as "partial 16S ribosomal RNA". It matches the Rfam family "Bacterial small subunit ribosomal RNA", at positions 29 to 523 of the family's 1533-position model. The record is from RNAcentral.